Molecule: ribosomal RNA, 255 nt
Filed under: uncultured bacterium
Lineage: Bacteria
Description: partial 16S ribosomal RNA
Rfam family: Bacterial small subunit ribosomal RNA
Source: RNAcentral
UACGUAGGGGGGCUAGCGUUGUCCGGAAUCAUUGGGCGUAAAGAGCGUGUAGGCGGUCCGGUAAGUCCGCUGUGAAAGUCGGGGGGCUCAACCCUCGAAUGCCGGUGGAUACUGUCGGGCUAGAGUGCGGAAGAGGCGAGUGGAAUUCCUGGUGUAGCGGUGAAAUGCGCAGAUAUCAGGAAGAACACCGGGGGCGAAGGCGGCUCUCUGGGCCUUACCUGACGCUGAGGAGCGAAAGCGUGGGUAGCGAACAGG